RNAcentral lists this small nucleolar RNA (131 nucleotides) under Helianthus annuus (common sunflower). Lineage: Eukaryota; Viridiplantae; Streptophyta; Magnoliopsida; Asterales; Asteraceae. The record is from RNAcentral.
GAGCAAGGACGCCUAUAUAAAUCGUGACGAAACUUGCAUUGAAGGUUGGCAAAAUCAAAAAAGUUUCUGCGAUUCUCCGUGCCCAUCAAAUCUUCUAAUUUUGAAUGCGGCCUCGAACAAAUCGCUACAUU